RNAcentral lists this ribosomal RNA (465 nucleotides) under Vreelandella stevensii. Its description in RNAcentral is "partial 16S ribosomal RNA". It matches the Rfam family "Bacterial small subunit ribosomal RNA", at positions 338 to 795 of the family's 1533-position model. The record is from RNAcentral. Lineage: Bacteria; Pseudomonadati; Pseudomonadota; Gammaproteobacteria; Oceanospirillales; Halomonadaceae.
CCUACGGGUGGCUGCAGUGGGGAAUAUUGGACAAUGGGCGAAAGCCUGAUCCAGCCAUGCCGCGUGUGUGAAGAAGGCCUUCGGGUUGUAAAGCACUUUCAGUGGGGAAGAAAGCCUUGGGGCUAAUACCCUCGAGGAAGGACAUCACCCACAGAAGAAGCACCGGCUAACUCCGUGCCAGCAGCCGCGGUAAUACGGAGGGUGCGAGCGUUAAUCGGAAUUACUGGGCGUAAAGUGCGCGUAGGCGGUCUGAUAAGCCGGUUGUGAAAGCCCCGGGCUCAACCUGAGAACGGCAUCCGGAACUGUCAGGCUAGAGUGCAGGAGAGGAAGGUAGAAUUCCCGGUGUAGCGGUGAAAUGCGUAGAGAUCGGGAGGAAUACCAGUGGCGAAGGCGGCCUUCUGGACUGACACUGACGCUGAGGUGCGAAAGCGUGGGUAGCAAACAGGAUUAGAUACCCCGGUAGUC